This is a long non-coding RNA of Hipposideros armiger (great roundleaf bat), 4026 nucleotides long. RefSeq lists it as uncharacterized. Lineage: Eukaryota; Metazoa; Chordata; Mammalia; Chiroptera; Hipposideridae. The transcript is spliced from 7 exons. The record is from RefSeq and is a predicted model, not a curated record.
GUGCACCUCGCGACUGUCCUCGAGGAGGCAGCGCGUUUCCGGGUUUUAGACACGGUCCGGGGGUUGGGCCUGAGCGACGUCGCGCACCAGAAUGAGAGACGUGACAUAAGAGGUCCCAAGGGAGCAAACCUGAAAGCCUGUGCCUCCUGAACACACUGCCGGGGGCGAGACAACUUUAGACCCUGUGCCCAGCAGAUUGAUAAAUGAAGCAUAAAGCAAGACCAGCUGCUGUGGUUUCCAGGAUGCACUUGGCUUCUCAUCCUUUAGAACCUGGAGCAUUUUUUGCUGUUUGUUCCUGAUGUGUCCACCAGAGACCAGUCCUAUCAGAGUCAUUCUUGGUAUCCACAGGGUUUAAGAACAUGGACAUUGCCACCCGACAAACCUGGGAUUGAAUGGGGACAAUAACAAUCCACAUGCCAUGGAGUUGCAUGGAGAAUUAAAUGAAACAAUGCACAUGGAGUGCUGAGCUCUAUGCCUGGCUCUUACCAAGUGCUCGCCCUUGCUCUUAUGGAGUUCUGAAGACUAAAACGUCUUGUAAAAAUUUCACAGGUUUCCAGAUAAAGAGGAGAAGCAUCUGAAAUGCCUCAUCUACACCUGGGCCUCGUGCAUGUUACUAGAUCCAAUACUUAAGAGCCAAGGAUAUACAGAAGGAUAAUUUGAGGGGAGGAAGUGAGUGUGUGUGGGUGUGUAUGUGUGAAUUUUUGUGGCCAGAGAGUGGAUUUGAUAGAGUUUUUCCAAGUAUGACUGCUAAUAAUUCCUCCUGUCGCAGCCACUCCUCCCAUUAAGAAGCAGAGUCUCUUUCCUCUCCCCUUGGAUCUGGGCUGGCCUUAUAUGACUUUCUUUGGCCAAGAGAAUACAAUGAAAGUGAUAUUCUGGGAGUUUCAAACCCUGGCUUUAAGAGACCUUGUAGUUUCCGCCUUCUCCCUUUUGGGAUCCAGUCACUGUGUAAAAAAGGUUGGGCUGGACCCCUGAAUGAUGAGCAAUCACAUGAAGAGAGGGAGCCUUCAGCCAUUUCAUUUCCCUGAGCCGAGGUGACAGACGUGUGGGUGAAGCCACUCAGACAUUCCAGCCCCGGCCACACUCACAGUUGAAUACAAUCACAUGCCUGACCCCAGCUGACAUCAUGGGGCAGCAGAAGAACUAUCCAACUGUGCCCUUCCCAAAUUGAAGAAAUGGGAGAAAAUAAAUGAUGGUUCUUUUAAGCCACGAAGUUUAUGGUGGUUUGUCAUGCAGCAAUAGAUAAUUGAAACAGCUAUCAAAGUUCAAGGUAUUUUCUGGUCUUUAACUCUAGUCCAUGGGCUGUGAAGAGGUUGCAAGUGUCAGACAAAGCCGCCAAGUUUUCAAGGAGACUAAAUUUCAUAAAAGCUGGACCCAGUAUGCCACCGUCAUUGUUCUGUUCACAGAGCUUAACAUAGUACUGGCACAUAAUAGACACCCAAAUAUUUGUUAAAUGAAUCAUUAAAUAAAUGAAUAGAGAUAAGACCCGAUACCAUUAAGAAGACAGACAAAAAGAAGAUACUUUAAACAGAGUUUGUCCAUUGCAUUUUCUUUUUCAAAAAGUUACUCUUUAUUGUUUGAAAAAGUGAUGUCUCAGAAGCCAGGGUAUGUUCUGAAGGGAAAAAUGUUUAGGAGUGAGGCAAUGGUCUGCCUUAACUCCUUUUCGAUGUCCUUCCUAUACACAGACAAAUGCGGGUUACUCUGUAAAGUGCCUGGUCAGUGCCCCAAUACCUGCUGGUAUAUCAAAAUAAGGAUAUUUUUCUAUUAUUGGAAGAGCUAUAAAGCACAUAUGUUUUCUGUAGGGCUAGAGUCAGAGUUAGUAUUAAGGGGACCAAAGUAGAAUAUCCAAUAGUCAGUGUUAGGUUGGGGAUUGAAACAGGCAAAGCAGUCUUGUCAUGUUAGGUCUUUUCCUUUCUAUCACUCUCUAGUCCACUCUCUAGCCAAGUCACAAUUUCAGAAUGCCACUUGGACACAGUGAGUGCCUGGUCUGUCUGUUCUGUGGUUCUCCCAGAAGCACCCUGCCCAACCUUUAUUUCUCACAGUUGUAAGUUCAUACAGCAUACCUCUCUACUGAGAUGUGAAAGGAGACAUAAGUACCAUCUAAAAUAGCUCCAGGAGAGAUUUACGACAUGAAAAGCUUGUAGACAAUAAUGGAAACUUUUCUUUUAGAGUGCAGUUACUUGUAUGAUCUGUAGCAGUGCCUUCUGGGGAAAUGUCUUGGACAAAAUAUCUUUAUUCCAAAGAACAGCAAUAUUUGUAAUUAGGAUAAAUGAAAUAAGGGGAAAGCCUUUGGACAAUUGGAAGAAUGGGGUGGUUUAAAGUCAAACCUAUAAUUGUUAACAUUUUUCUGUUCUAUAUUAUUAAGAAAACAGUGCUUAAACAGAUUAAAAAUAGAGAAGGUUGCUUAAAAAUUAAAGCCAUUGAUUUAGAUCUCUACUUGAAAGGUCAGUGUGUGGGAGAUGAGAAAGGCACUGUAGUGUGCAGAGUGCUCAGCAAAAAACAUGUCAGCAGCAGGACCUACAAAGCUCACAUCAACUAUUUACAUCACCAACAUCUAGUGGCUGGUCAUUUCACUUAUCAAAAAAAGUAAGAAAGGUAUUUUCUUUGGACAUUCUUUGAGUGUAGUAACAAUAAGGUUUGGGACUCAAUUGUUAGAAACUGAUAAUUAAAGCUGGUUUGUCAUGUUCACUAAUUAUUCUAGAUAGUUAGCCUCCCUGAAGCUUUAUAUAAUUCUCCCUUUGUUACAAGCUUUUGUUUCUCCCCAUGGGCGUUCUGAAUCCAGACAGGUAAAGAACUGAAGUGCUUGGAAACCAAUGUGUAUUGUAUUGUAUGUACAGCCAAGCAGAUGUUUGCCUUUGAACUUGAAAAAAUUAUAAAAAAACAAAAAACUUUCUGUACAUUAGAUGGGCUCAGCUACUUAGAGGUUUAAGCUCUACCACCUGGGUAAGGAGAUUUCUUGGAUAGAAGGAAAAAGUGAAGAAAACAAAAAAUGAAAAAGGAUACUUUAGUAUUUUCUUCAGGAACCUACUUAACCCUGGGAAAGGGAGGAGGUUUUUAUUCAGCAACUCCUAAUAAUCACCUGAUAUUACUGUCAGGCUGGCCAAUAUCUGCCAACAUUGCUGAUCUGUUCAUUCAUCACUAGAGAAAAGUAGAGGGACAUGAUAUUUAGAGAAAUAGCAAAACUAUCUCCCAUUUUCUUUCUUCAGCUGAUGGAGGUGUUUGUGGGCCAGUCUCAUAUUCCAGCACUUUAUUGCUGGUGAUGCACAUCCUCUUUGCUCCAAAAUAACUCUGCCAGGGGAAUUGAAAAGGAUCCUUCCUCGUGCCUGACAUCAACAGGGCAUAAGUGAACCCAUUUUCUUCCCCGGAAGUGGAUUUCAGAACUUCUCAGAUGAUGGAAGAGUAAUCCUCACUUAGGGUAGGCUCCAGGGGAGGGGCAAAGAAGGACAUUCUUAUAACAGGGACUCUGGACAAGCUCAGCCACCUGAGAAACAAACAUGGGACAUUUUAUCCCUCCUCAAUCUACUUCCCUUCAUUUAACUUCAUCUUCUCUUUGCAUUUUCCCACCAAACAGUAGUUGAUAUUCAAUUGAGUACAGCUCAGGUCUUAUCAUGCAAUCUAGUGGAACACCUAGAAAUCAGGGACUCCUUGUCCUUGGUUAUCUGUAAAAUAAAGAAAUGUCAAAUCCUGUGUGGACAGGAUUUUCAUCUUUGGAAACCAAAGUAGGAGUAGGCCUUUCUCCCACUCUUUCCAAAUUGCUUUCCAUUUAAUUUUCCACUGUGGCCCUUGCCUCCCACAAGCUGACCAGAACCAUUCACAAAAUCAGCUUCCGAUAAAUACCAACAUUGAAGGUUUAGCGGGUUGCUAACUCUUGUCGUAUAUAAAUGCCAAGUUUUAUGGAGACCUAGAGAUCUCUAAGAACACUGUAAAUAUCCCUGGUUUAAUUAGUAGUUUUGGAGUUAGGUAAUGGCCUGUGGUUUCUAAGCUAGGUCUCUUGGGGUUUCUAGUCUUCAGGGACUGCAUGCAACUAAG